Molecule: ribosomal RNA, 239 nt
Filed under: uncultured bacterium
Lineage: Bacteria
Description: partial 16S ribosomal RNA
Rfam family: Bacterial small subunit ribosomal RNA
Source: RNAcentral
GAUCCUGGCUCAGGACGAACGCUGGCGGCGUGCUUAACACAUGCAAGUCGAACGAGAAUCUACUGAAGGAGUUUUCGGACAACGGAUGUAGAGGAAAGUGGCGGACGGGUGAGUAACGCGUGAGGAACCUGCCUUGAGGAGGGGGACAACAGUUGGAAACGACUGCUAAUACCGCAUGACGCAUAGGGGUUCGCAUGAUCUUUAUGCCAAAGAUUUAUCGCUUCAAGAUGGCCUCGCGU